CCUACGGGAGGCAGCAGUGGGGAAUAUUGCACAAUGGGGGGAACCCUGAUGCAGCGACGCCGCGUGAGUGAAGAAGUAUUUCGGUAUGUAAAGCUCUAUCAGCAGGGAAGAAAAUGACGGUACCUGACUAAGAAGCCCCGGCUAACUACGUGCCAGCAGCCGCGGUAAUACGUAGGGGGCAAGCGUUAUCCGGAUUUACUGGGUGUAAAGGGAGCGCAGACGGCUGUGCAAGUCUGGAGUGAAAGGCGGGGCCCAACCCCCGGACUGCUCUGGAAACUGUAAAGCUGGAGUGCAGGAGAGGUAAGCGGAAUUCCUAGUGUAGCGGUGAAAUGCGUAGAUAUUAGGAGGAACACCAGUGGUGAAGGCGGCUUACUGGACUGCAACUGACGUUGAGGCUCGAAAGCGUGGGGAGCAAACAGGAUUAGAUACCCUUGUAGUC
RNAcentral lists this ribosomal RNA (439 nucleotides) under uncultured bacterium. Its description in RNAcentral is "partial 16S ribosomal RNA". It matches the Rfam family "Bacterial small subunit ribosomal RNA", at positions 338 to 795 of the family's 1533-position model. The record is from RNAcentral.